Molecule: long non-coding RNA, 1910 nt
Organism: Acanthopagrus latus (yellowfin seabream)
Lineage: Eukaryota; Metazoa; Chordata; Actinopteri; Spariformes; Sparidae
Exons: 2
Source: RefSeq, a predicted model, not a curated record
CAGACACCGAUACUGACGUAACUCACUUAUCAAAUAUUAUAUUGACUGUCUGAAAGAUUUUCUGGUUGACUGAUUGUCAAUUUCCCAAGGCACUUGAAAUUAUCUUGAGGCUGAACCCACGUAUAGAAAUCGACCUACAUAUAGUUGAUAAUGCUACUGCUGUACAUUAGAUUUUUUUGUUCAAAACAUUUCUACUAACCACUAACAAAUCAUAGCAAUUAGCUCUCCUACACCUACUUAAACUACAGUUUAAAUACAUUGCUUCGGUGUAACCCAUCAUAAGCACAGUGACGUCCUUUAAUUUCUUCAGUGUAAGUAAUGAUUUAAUGAUUUGAAAUCCUUCAAUUAGAUCCAAGCUGGCUCAAGUUUUUGCAGGUCAGCAGGGUUUCUAGUCCUCAAACUUUUGGUGAAAGUUUGUUUAUGUUAAUCCUGAUUGUUCCUCUUGCAACUGACCAUAACAAUCAGUACAGAUAUAGCUGGUCUGCGAGGAGUGAUUCUGGAUCCUCAGCAGGUCAAAUUUACCACACAAACACAAGACAGCCACUGAUAUAAACCACAAGCUCUGUUUACAAUGUGCGAUAAUGCAAUCUAAUGUUGGCUAAUGCCCAUUGUAGUGAUUUGUCUAUACUAUGCUUUCAUUAUGUACACAGUUUGAAGUUUGCUGGAUUAAAGCUCGUAUAACAUUCAAUAAUGAUUAAUUAAUCUCUCAUGUCACUGUAACAUAUAACUGAGUGUCUUUAGUGGUAGAUUAUAUCCCUACACAUCAAUACACAAAAAACAGAGGAUUAAAAGCAAAGAAGAGAUUUUUUUUAAAAUGAAUAACAACAAAAUGAACAAGAACUUACUUUCAGAAGUCUGGUUUUCUCUCAGCCUCCAAAGAGAAAACAUUGAACUAGCUAUUUGUGUGAAAACCCCACAAGUUUUGAUUGCAGUUUAUCUACCACCUCUGCCUCCACACACUGUUAAUCUGCUCUGCUAUGUGCACUACAGACUCAUUUAAUCCGCUGCUUGCAUACCUCUGGCUCUUUCCAUUUACCAUUUCUCCAUGGCCACACUUGUUUGGUCUGCCUAGCAAGAAAACUGCAUCUGUUAUGAUAUCUACAUAAUGGACUAACAUGGUAAGUUUAAACUUAAAGUUUUGUGUGAUAAUAAUAAUAAUAACAUUUUGUUUCUGCAUUUGUGGAUAAAAAGGUGUUUCUUUUUUAUAUGAUUUAUAUUUAUUCGCCAGUUGGUCAAAAUCAGGCUGCUGUACUAACGCUGUAAUGUGUUUAACACACAAGCAUGAAGUAAGAAAAUAAGAGAGUGAUUUUUUUUGGUUGUUGAGGCCCAAUUGGUAUCACAGAUACAUCUUUAGUUAUACAAACCAAAAGAAUUGUGUGUCUCUUGUUCUGUUUAGUGCUUGAGAAAAAUCUGGUCUAUCUAAAACUGCUGUUUGUGGCUCCUUCCUUAAUGAGCUGCAACAUGACAUCAGAGCAACGUCUAAACAAAUAAAAGGCAUUCAACUAUUAUAGCUCCACUGAAAUGUAAAAUUAGCAUUUUAAAUACUGAUAAACAAAGAUACACAGUCAGUCUGAACGUGUUGCUCUGCUGUAAUGCAAUCUGAAGUGAAGCAUGGCUCCUGAGGAACACGCUAGGGGAAAGCAGGGAGGAGAACAGCCAGACUGUGAUGUGAAAGUCCAUAUAAGGCUGCAGACGAGGAAAUUACCAGAGAGGAACUGAUACGCCUCGUCUACGGCAUCUUCACAUGGCGCCACAAGCUUUACUAAAGGAAACAGAUCACUGCUGUGCAUGACCACAGAAAUCACCAUCCAACAGGUGCAGUGACUGAUUCUCUGAAGAGAUAACGUCACAUAUAGCCUGAUGUAUUUAAGGCUUUGUUCCGUCUCAAUAAAAGGCACAAUUUAACUUCU